GCGACUAAGCGUACACGGUGGAUGCCUAGGCAGUCAGAGGCGAUGAAGGACGUGUUAAUCUGCGAUAAGCGUCGGUGAGCUGAUAUAAAGCGUUAUCAACCGGCGAUUUCCGAAUGGGGAAACCCAGUGCAAUCCGUUGCACUAUCAUGACCUGAAUUCAUAGGGUCAUGAGGCGAACCGGGGGAACUGAAACAUCUAAGUACCCGUAGGAAAGGACAUCAACCGAGACUCCGGAAGUAGUGGCGAGCGAACCCGGACCAGGCCAGUGGCGAUUGAGAGACAAGCGGAACCUUCUGGAAAGUAGGGCCAUAGUGGGUGACAGCCCCGUACGCGUAAUGCAAUCAAUCGUCCUCGAGUAAGGCGGGACACGUGAAAUCCUGUCUGAAAUUGGGGGGACCACCCUCCAAGCCUAAGUACUCGUGCAUGACCGAUAGCGAACUAGUACCGUGAGGGAAAGGUGAAAAGCACCCCGACAAGGGGAGUGAAAGAGUACCUGAAACCGAUUGCCUACAAACAGUGGAAGCCCAAGGUUCGUCCUGGGUGACCACGUACCUUUUGUAUAAUGGGUCAGCGACUUAGUGUGACGAGCAAGCUUAAACCGCUAGGUGUAGGCGCAGCGAAAGCGAGUCUGAACAGGGCGUUCAGUUCGUCGCAUUAGACCCGAAACCGAGUGAUCUAGCCAUGAGCAGGUUGAAGGUAAGGUAACACUUACUGGAGGACCGAACCCAUAACUGUUGCAAUAGUUCGGGAUGACUUGUGGCUAGGGGUGAAAGGCCAAUCAAACUCGGAAAUAGCUGGUUCUCCGCGAAAUCUAUUUAGGUAGAGCGUCGACCGAAUACCCCAGGGGGUAGAGCACUGGAUGGGCUAGGGGUCCUCACCGGAUUACCAAACCUAACCAAACUCCGAAUACCUGGGAGUACUAGUCGGCAGACACACGGCGGGUGCUAACGUCCGUCGUGAAAAGGGAAACAACCCUGACCUACAGCUAAGGUCCCCAAGUUAUGGCUAAGUGGGAAAGGAUGUGAGGAUCCCAAAACAACCAGGAUGUUGGCUUAGAAGCAGCCAUCAUUUAAAGAAAGCGUAAUAGCUCACUGGUCGAGUCGGCCUGCGCGGAAGAUGUAACGGGGCUAAACUAUGCACCGAAGCUGCGGCAGCGACACUUAAGGUGUUGUUGGGUAGGGGAGCGUUCUGUAAGCCGUCGAAGGUGUCCUGUGAGGGGUGCUGGAGGUAUCAGAAGUGCGAAUGCUGACAUAAGUAACGAUAAUGCGGGUGAAAAGCCCGCACGCCGGAAGACCAAGGGUUCCUGUCCAACGUUAAUCGGGGCAGGGUGAGUCGACCCCUAAGGCGAGGCCGAAAGGCGUAGUCGAUGGGAAACGGGUUAAUAUUCCCGUACUGGUUGUGACUGCGAAGGGGGGACGGAGAAGGCUAAGCUAGCCGGGCGACGGUAGUCCCGGUUCAAGCGUGUAGGGGGUGUGACUAGGAAAAUCCGGUUGCACAUUCUUUAAUGAAUAACCCUGAGGCGUGAUAACGAGGCACUAAGGUGCUGAAGUAGUUGAUGCCAUGCUUCCUGGAAAAGCCUCUAAGCUCUAGGUCACAGUCAAUCGUACCCCAAACCGACACAGGUGGUCAGGUAGAGAAUACUCAGGCGCUUGAGAGAACUCGGGUGAAGGAACUAGGCAAAAUGGUGCCGUAACUUCGGGAGAAGGCACGCUGGCAUGUAGGUGAAGGACCUCGCGUCCGGAGCCGAAGCCAGUCGAAGAUACCAGCUGGCUGCAACUGUUUAUUAAAAACACAGCACUGUGCAAACACGAAAGUGGACGUAUACGGUGUGACGCCUGCCCGGUGCUGGAAGGUUAAUUGAUGGGGUUAUCCGCAAGGAGAAGCUCUUGAUCGAAGCCCCAGUAAACGGCGGCCGUAACGAUAACGGUCCUAAGGUAGCGAAAUUCCUUGUCGGGUAAGUUCCGACCUGCACGAAUGGCGUAACGACUUCCCCGCUGUCUCCAGCAUAGACUCAGUGAAAUUGAAUUCCCCGUGAAGAUGCGGGGUUCCUGCGGUUAGACGGAAAGACCCCGUGCACCUUUACUAUAGCUUUACAUUGGCAUUCGUAGUGGCAUGUGUAGGAUAGGUGGUAGGCUUUGAAACCUGGGCGCCAGCUCAGGUGGAGCCACCCUUGAAAUACCACCCUUAUUACUAUGGAUGUCUAACCGCGGCCCGUUAUCCGGGUCCGGGACAAUGUAUGGUGGGUAGUUUGACUGGGGCGGUCGCCUCCUAAAGAGUAACGGAGGCGCGCGAUGGUGGGCUCAGAACGGUCGGAAAUCGUUCGCUGAGUGCAAUGGCAUAAGCCUGCCUGACUGCGAGACUGACAAGUCGAGCAGAGACGAAAGUCGGUCAUAGUGAUCCGGUGGUCCCGCGUGGAAGGGCCAUCGCUCAACGGAUAAAAGGUACGCCGGGGAUAACAGGCUGAUGGUGUUCGAGAGUUCAUAUCGACGACACCGUUUGGCACCUCGAUGUCGACUCAUCGCAUCCUGGGGCUGAAGUAGGUCCCAAGGGUACGGCUGUUCGCCGUUUAAAGUGGUACGCGAGCUGGGUUUAGAACGUCGUGAGACAGUUCGGUCCCUAUCUGCCGUGGGCGUUGGAAGAUUGAGGGGGGUUGCUCCUAGUACGAGAGGACCGGAGUGAACGCACCACUGGUGUUCGGGUUGUCAUGCCAAUGGCAUUGCCCGGUAGCUACGUGCGGAAAAGAUAAGCGCUGAAAGCAUCUAAGCGCGAAACUUGCCCCGAGAUGAGUCUUCCCUGACUCUUAAAGAGUCCUGAAGGGACGUUAAAGACCAUGACGUUGAUAGGCUGGGUGUGUAAGUGUAGCGAUACAUUGAGCUAACCAGUACUAAUGACCCGAGAGGCUUAACCA
This 2908-nucleotide ribosomal RNA is filed under the name Amphizoa insolens. RNAcentral's name for it is "bacterial LSU rRNA". It matches the Rfam family "Bacterial large subunit ribosomal RNA". Lineage: Eukaryota; Metazoa; Arthropoda; Insecta; Coleoptera; Amphizoidae. The record is from RNAcentral.